Molecule: ribosomal RNA, 253 nt
Filed under: uncultured bacterium
Lineage: Bacteria
Description: partial 16S ribosomal RNA
Rfam family: Bacterial small subunit ribosomal RNA
Source: RNAcentral
UACGUAGGGGGCAAGCGUUGUCCGGAAUUAUUGGGCGUAAAGAGCGUGUAGGCGGCCAGGUAGGUCUGCUGUGAAAACUCGAGGCUCAACCUCAAGCUGUCGGUGGAAACCAUCUGGCUAGAGUCCGGAAGAGGAGAAUGGAAUUCCUGGUGUAGCGGUGAAAUGCGCAGAUAUCAGGAAGAACACCCGUGGCGAAGGCGGUUCUCUGGGACGGUACUGACGCUGAGACGCGAAAGCGUGGGGAGCAAACAGG